This 235-nucleotide ribosomal RNA is filed under the name uncultured bacterium. Its description in RNAcentral is "partial 16S ribosomal RNA". It matches the Rfam family "Bacterial small subunit ribosomal RNA", at positions 118 to 347 of the family's 1533-position model. The record is from RNAcentral.
UGAGCAAUCUGCCCUUCUCAUCGGAAUAAGCGUUGGAAACGACGUCUAAUGCCGAAUACGACCUCCUUUCGCAUGAUCGGAGGUGGAAAGCUCCGGCGGAGAAGGAUGAGCUCGCGGCCUAUCAGCUAGUUGGUGUGGGUAAUGGCCCACCAAGGUGACGACGGAUAACCGGCCUGAGAGGGCGACCGGUCACACGUGGGACUGAGACACCGGCCCAGACCUCCGUACGGGAGCA